UACGUAGGUGGCAAGCGUUAUCCGGAUUUAUUGGGUGUAAAGGGCGUGUAGGCGGGAGCGCAAGUCAGAUGUGAAAACUCAGGGCUCAACCCUGAGCCUGCAUUUGAAACUGUGUUUCUUGAGUGCUGGAGAGGAGAGUGGAAUUCCAUGUGUAGCGGUGAAAUGCGUAGAUAUAUGGAGGAACACCGGUGGCGAAAGCGGCUCUCUGGCCUGUAACUGACACUGAGGCUCGAAAGCGUGGGGAGCAAACAGG
RNAcentral lists this ribosomal RNA (253 nucleotides) under uncultured bacterium. Its description in RNAcentral is "partial 16S ribosomal RNA". It matches the Rfam family "Bacterial small subunit ribosomal RNA", at positions 524 to 776 of the family's 1533-position model. The record is from RNAcentral.